This 397-nucleotide ribosomal RNA is filed under the name uncultured bacterium. RNAcentral's name for it is "bacterial SSU rRNA". It matches the Rfam family "Bacterial small subunit ribosomal RNA", at positions 34 to 453 of the family's 1533-position model. The record is from RNAcentral.
GAAUUCACUAGUGAUUCAGGCCUAACACAUGCAAGUCGCACGAACCUUUCGGGGUUAGUGGCGGACGGGUGGGUAACGCGUAGGAAUCUGUCCACGGGUGGGGGAUAACUCUGGGAAACUGGAGCUAAUACCGCAUGAUACCUGAGGGUCAAAGGCGCAAGUCGCCUGUGGAGGAGCCUGCGUUCGAUUAGCUAGUUGGUGGGGUAAAGGCCUACCAAGGCGAUGAUCGAUAGCUGGUUUGAGAGGAUGAUCAGCCACACUGGGACUGAGACACGGCCCAGACUCCUACGGGAGGCAGCAGUGGGGAAUAUUGGACAAGGGGGGCAACCCUGAUCCAGCAAUGCCGCGUGUUGAAAAGGGUCUUCGGAUUGUAAAGCACUUCGACGGGACGAUGAUG